Molecule: transfer RNA, 71 nt
Filed under: Ictidomys tridecemlineatus (thirteen-lined ground squirrel)
Lineage: Eukaryota; Metazoa; Chordata; Mammalia; Rodentia; Sciuridae
Description: Spermophilus tridecemlineatus (thirteen-lined ground squirrel) tRNA
Rfam family: tRNA
About the family: Transfer RNA (tRNA) molecules are approximately 80 nucleotides in length. Their secondary structure includes four short double-helical elements and three loops (D, anti-codon, and T loops).
Source: Rfam by way of RNAcentral
GGGGGUGUAGCUCAGUGGUAGAGUGCUUGCCUAGCAGGCAUGAAGUCCUGGGUCCAAUCCCAGCACUGCCC